RNAcentral lists this ribosomal RNA (228 nucleotides) under uncultured bacterium. RNAcentral's name for it is "partial 16S ribosomal RNA". It matches the Rfam family "Bacterial small subunit ribosomal RNA", at positions 103 to 334 of the family's 1533-position model. The record is from RNAcentral. RNAcentral also lists the same sequence under 1 other name.
CGGGUGAGUAAUGUCUGGGAAACUGCCUGAUGGAGGGGGAUAACUACUGGAAACGGUAGCUAAUACCGCAUAACGUCGCAAGACCAAAGAGGGGGACCUUCGGGCCUCUUGCCAUCAGAUGUGCCCAGAUGGGAUUAGCUAGUAGGUGGGGUAACGGCUCACCUAGGCGACGAUCCCUAGCUGGUCUGAGAGGAUGACCAGCCACACUGGAACUGAGACACGGUCCAG